Molecule: ribosomal RNA, 2854 nt
Filed under: Escherichia coli
Lineage: Bacteria; Pseudomonadati; Pseudomonadota; Gammaproteobacteria; Enterobacterales; Enterobacteriaceae
Description: partial 23S ribosomal RNA
Rfam family: Bacterial large subunit ribosomal RNA
Source: RNAcentral
GGGUUGUGAGGUUAAGCGACUAAGCGUACACGGUGGAUGCCCUGGCAGUCAGAGGCGAUGAAGGACGUGCUAAUCUGCGAUAAGCGUCGGUAAGGUGAUAUGAACCGUUAUAACCGGCGAUUUCCGAAUGGGGAAACCCAGUGUGAUUCGUCACACUAUCAUUAACUGAAUCCAUAGGUUAAUGAGGCGAACCGGGGGAACUGAAACAUCUAAGUACCCCGAGGAAAAGAAAUCAACCGAGAUUCCCCCAGUAGCGGCGAGCGAACGGGGAGCAGCCCAGAGCCUGAAUCAGUGUGUGUGUUAGUGGAAGCGUCUGGAAAGGCGUGCGAUACAGGGUGACAGCCCCGUACACAAAAAUGCACAUACUGUGAGCUCGAUGAGUAGGGCGGGACACGUGGUAUCCUGUCUGAAUAUGGGGGGACCAUCCUCCAAGGCUAAAUACUCCUGACUGACCGAUAGUGAACCAGUACCGUGAGGGAAAGGCGAAAAGAACCCCGGCGAGGGGAGUGAAAAAGAACCUGAAACCGUGUACGUACAAGCAGUGGGAGCACAGAGCAAUCUGUGUGACUGCGUACCUUUUGUAUAAUGGGUCAGCGACUUAUAUUCUGUAGCAAGGUUAACCGAAUAGGGGAGCCGAAGGGAAACCGAGUCUUAACUGGGCGUUAAGUUGCAGGGUAUAGACCCGAAACCCGGUGAUCUAGCCAUGGGCAGGUUGAAGGUUGGGUAACACUAACUGGAGGACCGAACCGACUAAUGUUGAAAAAUUAGCGGAUGACUUGUGGCUGGGGGUGAAAGGCCAAUCAAACCGGGAGAUAGCUGGUUCUCCCCGAAAGCUAUUUAGGUAGCGCCUCGUGAAUUCAUCUCCGGGGGUAGAGCACUGUUUCGGCAAGGGGGUCAUCCCGACUUACCAACCCGAUGCAAACUGCGAAUACCGGAGAAUGUUAUCACGGGAGACACACGGCGGGUGCUAACGUCCGUCGUGAAGAGGGAAACAACCCAGACCGCCAGCUAAGGUCCCAAAGUCAUGGUUAAGUGGGAAACGAUGUGGGAAGGCCCAGACAGCCAGGAUGUUGGCUUAGAAGCAGCCAUCAUUUAAAGAAAGCGUAAUAGCUCACUGGUCGAGUCGGCCUGCGCGGAAGAUGUAACGGGGCUAAACCAUGCACCGAAGCUGCGGCAGCGACGCUUAUGCGUUGUUGGGUAGGGGAGCGUUCUGUAAGCCUGCGAAGGUGUGCUGUGAGGCAUGCUGGAGGUAUCAGAAGUGCGAAUGCUGACAUAAGUAACGAUAAAGCGGGUGAAAAGCCCGCUCGCCGGAAGACCAAGGGUUCCUGUCCAACGUUAAUCGGGGCAGGGUGAGUCGACCCCUAAGGCGAGGCCGAAAGGCGUAGUCGAUGGGAAACAGGUUAAUAUUCCUGUACUUGGUGUUACUGCGAAGGGGGGACGGAGAAGGCUAUGUUGGCCGGGCGACGGUUGUCCCGGUUUAAGCGUGUAGGCUGGUUUUCCAGGCAAAUCCGGAAAAUCAAGGCUGAGGCGUGAUGACGAGGCACUACGGUGCUGAAGCAACAAAUGCCCUGCUUCCAGGAAAAGCCUCUAAGCAUCAGGUAACAUCAAAUCGUACCCCAAACCGACACAGGUGGUCAGGUAGAGAAUACCAAGGCGCUUGAGAGAACUCGGGUGAAGGAACUAGGCAAAAUGGUGCCGUAACUUCGGGAGAAGGCACGCUGAUAUGUAGGUGAAGUCCCUCGCGGAUGGAGCUGAAAUCAGUCGAAGAUACCAGCUGGCUGCAACUGUUUAUUAAAAACACAGCACUGUGCAAACACGAAAGUGGACGUAUACGGUGUGACGCCUGCCCGGUGCCGGAAGGUUAAUUGAUGGGGUCAGCGCAAGCGAAGCUCUUGAUCGAAGCCCCGGUAAACGGCGGCCGUAACUAUAACGGUCCUAAGGUAGCGAAAUUCCUUGUCGGGUAAGUUCCGACCUGCACGAAUGGCGUAAUGAUGGCCAGGCUGUCUCCACCCGAGACUCAGUGAAAUUGAACUCGCUGUGAAGAUGCAGUGUACCCGCGGCAAGACGGAAAGACCCCGUGAACCUUUACUAUAGCUUGACACUGAACAUUGAGCCUUGAUGUGUAGGAUAGGUGGGAGGCUUUGAAGUGUGGACGCCAGUCUGCAUGGAGCCGACCUUGAAAUACCACCCUUUAAUGUUUGAUGUUCUAACGUUGACCCGUAAUCCGGGUUGCGGACAGUGUCUGGUGGGUAGUUUGACUGGGGCGGUCUCCUCCUAAAGAGUAACGGAGGAGCACGAAGGUUGGCUAAUCCUGGUCGGACAUCAGGAGGUUAGUGCAAUGGCAUAAGCCAGCUUGACUGCGAGCGUGACGGCGCGAGCAGGUGCGAAAGCAGGUCAUAGUGAUCCGGUGGUUCUGAAUGGAAGGGCCAUCGCUCAACGGAUAAAAGGUACUCCGGGGAUAACAGGCUGAUACCGCCCAAGAGUUCAUAUCGACGGCGGUGUUUGGCACCUCGAUGUCGGCUCAUCACAUCCUGGGGCUGAAGUAGGUCCCAAGGGUAUGGCUGUUCGCCAUUUAAAGUGGUACGCGAGCUGGGUUUAGAACGUCGUGAGACAGUUCGGUCCCUAUCUGCCGUGGGCGCUGGAGAACUGAGGGGGGCUGCUCCUAGUACGAGAGGACCGGAGUGGACGCAUCACUGGUGUUCGGGUUGUCAUGCCAAUGGCACUGCCCGGUAGCUAAAUGCGGAAGAGAUAAGUGCUGAAAGCAUCUAAGCACGAAACUUGCCCCGAGAUGAGUUCUCCCUGACUCCUUGAGAGUCCUGAAGGAACGUUGAAGACGACGACGUUGAUAGGCCGG